RNAcentral lists this ribosomal RNA (446 nucleotides) under uncultured bacterium. RNAcentral's name for it is "bacterial SSU rRNA". It matches the Rfam family "Bacterial small subunit ribosomal RNA", at positions 355 to 825 of the family's 1533-position model. The record is from RNAcentral.
UGGGGAAUAUUGGACAAUGGGCGCAAGCCUGAUCCAGCCAUGCCGCGUGAGUGACGAAGGUCUUCGGAUUGUAAAACUCUUUUGGCGGGACGAUAAUGACGGUACCCGCAGAAUAAGCCCCGGCUAACUUCGUGCCAGCAGCCGCGGUAAUACGAAGGGGGCUAGCGUUGUUCGGAAUCACUGGGCGUAAAGCGCACGUAGGCGGAUGUGCCAGUCAGGCGUGAAAGCCCCGGGCUCAACCCGGGAAUAGCGCUUGAUACUAGCGGGCUAGAGUCCGGGAGAGGGUAGUGGAAUUCCCAGUGUAGAGGUGAAAUUCGUAGAUAUUGGGAAGAACACCAGUGGCGAAGGCGGCUACCUGGACCGGUACUGACGCUGAGGUGCGAAAGCGUGGGGAGCAAACAGGAUUAGAUACCCCAGUAGUCCCUGAGCGGGCUGGCAAGGCGCAU